CACGGGGCUCCUAGGGCCUGUCACCAGACGGGAAAGAAUGCCGGGGGAGGUCAAGGUCACACCCUGAAGCCCCAGGCCUUCCAGUCCACAGGCCAGGAGCCUGGCUGAGAACCCUCCUGCCUCCUGCCUCCCCCACCCCCAACCCCCUGGGCGCCAAACAGCCCCGGAGCCAGGAGGAGCCCAAUAACAGGGCAGCCGACCAGGGGCAGCUCAGCGGACCACAGGGUGGGCAUCUGCCGGCCCAGCGUGGACCCAGCCUCGGGGCCCGGCCAGACAGCGACGCAUUGACACGGCCACCUCGGAGAAGGGGCAGAGGUGUGGGGGAGGUCAGGGUCCCAGGCCUCAGUCUGCAGGAAAAGCCCCCCCCCCCCCCCCCCCCGGGGUCCCCCCCCCACACCAAAGGGGUUUAUGAAGACCUGUGCAGCGCUAUCAUUAAGGGAUUUAACGACAGCUUUGCCCAAUAUUGGGGAUCUGUUAUGUCUCUUAUUACACGCUUUAACAAGCACAUUUCUCCGAGACGCAGCCCCGCGUGAGGGCCGUCCUCUCCCUCUGCCUCGUGUGACUUUCAUUAGAAGGCGUUUCAUAAAGCCACGGAUCACAGAUGCACGCCCAGCCCGCAGCCUUGGCUGGCCGGGGCCUGGUGUCAUGGGCUGGGUGGCCGGGGUGUGCCCGCGGGUCUGUCUGCCUGUUUCUGUGGGUGCAGAGAGGAGCCCCUGUACUCAGACCGCACCCCUCCUGACACUCCCGGCCGGGGGCACGACUCAGGCACGGACCCCAGACUGGAGUCGGGCUUCCUGCCCCUUCUGCGACGUGAUCCCAGAUGAGCCUCGGGCCUCCUGAGCCUCAGCGUCCCCAUGUGUGACUUGGGCAUCUGAGCAGACAAAUGACUUCCAGCAUAUCUCAGCACUAGGACUCUGUUUGCACGCAAACCAUCAAAUAGCGGAAAAGCAAAUUUAAAAAGGCGGAAAUGAAGCUGAUUCUGCAGAAACAAAUCUCGGCCACCCUGCUCCUUACCCCCAGGAGGCCGCUGGAUUGCCACCAAAUGCCUGGGGUCUUUGGAGCACAGCUUAGGAUGCUGGCUGGUGGCUGAGGACUGUGAUGUCCCCAGCUCCAGGGCCUGAGGCCCUAGCAUUGCGCUGACCGUGCCCACAGAACGACAGCCCUGCCCUGAGCCACAGCCCUGCAGGCCCAGCCAGCUCGCCCCCCACCCCGGGGCCCCCGGGGCAGGCCACGCACAGGGGCGGCAGGAGGAAGAGUAGGUAAUUCCAGAGCCAAGCCCUGACUUCCGACAUGCACACCCCUCCCGACGCUGAAAUGUGUCUUCUGAGCUCUCUGCUCCGAGCUGCCCUUCCCGGCCCUUGGAGCACGUGCUCAGGCCAUCGCCGCGGCCUCAGAAGCUGGUGUAUAAAAGCGGAAAGCACAGGCUCCCUGAGGGCAGCUGGAGGCGAGCCGACCUGUAGCUGAGACCAAUUCCUGCCAAGAAACUUCCAGACAAGCAAGAUGUGCGCUGGGAAGGAUCCAGGUGAACAGGCCGAUGGUGGACGGGGAGACCCCUGCCCUCUGGUUCCCUGGCCAGAGCCCCCCGGCACACUGACAAUGGGUCGCCCAGGCCCAGGAUGACUGCAGCCUCCCUCGGGGCUCCCAGAGACCCUCCACGCGGCCAGGCUCCUCCUCCAGCAUCCACACACUGAUGCCUUCUCCGGACUUCUGGAGCCCCAUCUACACCACAAUGGCAAGGGGCCAGAGCGGGGUCCGCUGGUCUCUGACUCCCCUGCCCCUAGCAGAGGGCUGGCUCUGAAGAGGUUUGUAAACAGUCAGCUCCAAAGAAGCUCAAAGAAGUCAGUGGUGGGGCCAGGACCAGGGCCGGAGCCGGUGUGGGAAGGGGCGGGUGAGGCCCCUGGCCUCCGGGGGUCAGGAUCGGGAGCUCACCGCUUGCUCCCUUAUUCUGGAAGGAUCCCUGGGUAUGAGAACCUUCCCCAAGGUCACCCGGGUCCUCCCUCCCUUUCCCAGACAGAUGCCCUCAGGACAGGGACGUGUGGAAGCCGGGACAGAGCAGCGGACGCGGCCCCAGCUGUGACAAGCGCCCCCCACCCCCGUCCCCCCCAGAAACGAGCGAAGGCAUAAAUAAAUAAUAAGCCCUGCCGAUCGCGCACCGCUUCCCAGAUAGGGCUGGGCACGGCCCGGCGAUUACGCCCACAAUACCUCGCAUUCAUUACGCCCCUUAAAAACGGUGUGCUGUGUCUGGAAAACAGGAAGUGGCCGUCAGUCUCCCGUGUAAAAGCCAUCUGAAGCCCGUGGACCAGGCAUGUUCUCAAUCAGGAAGCAGGCAGUAAAUAAACAUUUACGUCCCGCGGCCGCGCGCACCCGCCUGCCCCCAGGCUACAAAGGGGCACGGAGAGCGGAAAUUUGUUUAGUCCUAUAAAAGCACAGGCCAUAUAUCAAUAGAUGGUUAAAAAUGGAAACGUGGCCGGCUAAUGGACGGUAUUGAUUUUAAUAAGCGUUAAGUACAUGGAGCUCGCAGAUAAGGGCCGCUGGGCCAUCCCUCCGCGCUCUGGGAAAGUGACUCAUGCGGCGAAAAAAAAAAAAAAAAAAUCCUCUUUUCCAAAUUGAAACUUUCACCCGGCGUAUUGGGGUCUGGGGGAGUGGUUUCCAAAUCGGCAUCUAUCCCGGAAUAUCGAGCGUGACGCGGGUGAUAUAUGGAAGCGUUUCUGCCGCGAGGUCAAGCACGUCGCGCUCAAAACAGUAGCAGCACGGGCUCGCGGGCGCCUUGGUGGCAGGGCCACGGCCGGGCCCCCGCGGGGCGUCCGAGCGCACCAGCGCCCGCUCCAGGCUGCCGAGACGCCCCCGGGAACCCCGCGUCACCCCAUUUGUUCUGCUUCCUCCCACCCGGUCACGCUGGGCUCCCCACCUCCCGGGUGUCCACAGUACCCGGGCCCUGAGAGACGGGGCCGCGGGGCCAGACGUCCACCCAGAGCAUCAGGUGCCUGCCUGGGACCAAAGCUCCUACCUCGGAGGAAGUCGCAGCUCCGUGACAAUGACCAGACGGCCGUUCUCCAGACGGGAGCUGGUAGCGGCCGGCUGGGGUCAGGCGUGAGGGUCACACUGGUCCCUGGGCCGGGAAAGGCCCGACCAAGUGGCAGAAUGUCCUCACAGACAUCCACUUGGAAUCUUCUGCUUGUCAUGGUAGAUUAGGUUGCUCCUGUUCCUGCAACACAGGAGCUCCACAAAGGUACGGUCUUACCUGUUUGUUGGCCACCAUAUACCUGAGUCAACAUGGCAGUUGGUCUAGCACAGGUCACUGAACAUGAAAGGUGUUCAGGGAAUGGGUGAUAGAGAACAUGAAAGAAGGAAGAAACACAAGUAAGUAAAAAGGGUUUGAGCCAUCAGGUCAUGGUUACAGAAGUAAGCAUGAGGCACCAUGCCCCCACCCCUGCUUCCUCACAUUGGUGCAGGCACACCUUCACAGAGCUGGGCACAUCGCAGGCCUCAGACACUGGCUGCCUGAGCAAGUUCAUGAAAGAUGUCCUGUUUUCGCUUUGCUCCAAGGCCACGGUACAGGUGCAGUCCCUGCCCUAUAAGGUACACUUUUUGGGUUUGGCCCUAAGACCUCCUCUUCUCCACAAGUCAGUGCAGUUUUCCUGUCAAAGAGCCAAAAAGGGAGCGGUCGAGGCUUUGUGGGCCUGACCACCUUACCUCUGCUGCUGUAAUGUGAAAACAGCCAUGGAGAACACAUGAGCGGGUGUGGCUCUGUUUGUAUAAAACUUCAUUUACGGACACCAAAACACGGAUUUCAGGUAACGUACUCACGUCAUGAAGUAUGGCUCUGUUUGCUUUCCAUUUCCAGCCAUUUAGAAAUAUAAAAACCACUCUUAGCUCGCAGUCCCUUCUGACUCAGAUGGCAGGCCAGACUCGGUCUGUAGAAUGUAAUCUGCCAACCCCUUUCCGGGGGUAGGGUCCCUCCCUCGCCCCUAAUAUGCACAUUUGGUGCAUAAAUGUGUACUAUUCCAUAAG
Herpailurus yagouaroundi (jaguarundi) is the source of this 4011-nucleotide long non-coding RNA. RefSeq lists it as uncharacterized. The record is from RefSeq and is a predicted model, not a curated record. Lineage: Eukaryota; Metazoa; Chordata; Mammalia; Carnivora; Felidae. The transcript is spliced from 3 exons.